RNAcentral lists this transfer RNA (72 nucleotides) under Candidatus Competibacteraceae bacterium. Its description in RNAcentral is "tRNA-Arg". It matches the Rfam family "tRNA". Rfam says of the family: Transfer RNA (tRNA) molecules are approximately 80 nucleotides in length. Their secondary structure includes four short double-helical elements and three loops (D, anti-codon, and T loops). RNAcentral also lists the same sequence under 2 other names. Lineage: Bacteria; Pseudomonadati; Pseudomonadota; Gammaproteobacteria; Candidatus Competibacteraceae. The record is from RNAcentral.
GGCCUCGUAGUAUAAUGGAUAGUAUACAGGUUUCCGGAACCUGCGGUCUAGGUUCGAUCCCUAGCGAGGCUA